UAACUAAGCGGAGGAAAAGAAACCAACUGGGAUUUCCCUAGUAACGGCGAGUGAAGCGGAAGACUGAAGCCCAGCGCUGAAUCCGCCGCGGUUAACACCCGGCCGGAAUUGUAGCGUUAGGGACAUUAGCCAGUGGACGAAACUAUCGCUCAAGUCCCUCCGAACGGGGCCCAUCCCAUAGCGGGUGCCAGGCCUAUGCUAGCGAGUACGUUUCGUUUACCGCUCUUGUCCCACGAGUCGGGUUGUUUGGGAAUGCAGCCCAAAGGCGGAGGUAAACUCCUCCUAAGGCUUAAUACCGGUGCGAGGCCGAUAGCGGACAAGUACCGCGAGGGAAAGU
Molecule: ribosomal RNA, 337 nt
Filed under: Coryphellina rubrolineata
Lineage: Eukaryota; Metazoa; Mollusca; Gastropoda; Nudibranchia; Flabellinidae
Description: partial large subunit ribosomal RNA
Rfam family: Eukaryotic large subunit ribosomal RNA
Source: RNAcentral